CCUACGGGUGGCAGCAGUGGGGAAUAUUGCACAAUGGGGGAAACCCUGAUGCAGCGACGCCGCGUGAGUGAAGAAGUAUUUCGGUACGUAAAGCUCUAUCAGCAGGGAAGAAAAUGACGGUACCUGACUAAGAAGCCCCGGCUAACUACGUGCCAGCAGCCGCGGUAAUACGUAGGGGGCAAGCGUUAUCCGGAUUUACUGGGUGUAAAGGGAGCGUAGACGGCAGCGCAAGUCUGGAGUGAAAUCCCAUGGCUUAACCAUGGAACUGCUUUGGAAACUGUGCAGCUAGAGUGCAGGAGAGGUAAGCGGAAUUCCUAGUGUAGCGGUGAAAUGCGUAGAUAUUAGAAGGAACACCAGUGGCGAAGGCGGCUUACUGGACUGUAACUGACGUUGAGGCUCGAAAGCGUGGGGAGCAAACAGGAGUAGAUACCCGAGUAGUC
RNAcentral lists this ribosomal RNA (440 nucleotides) under uncultured bacterium. RNAcentral describes it as "partial 16S ribosomal RNA". It matches the Rfam family "Bacterial small subunit ribosomal RNA", at positions 338 to 795 of the family's 1533-position model. The record is from RNAcentral.